Long non-coding RNA from Hyla sarda, 166 nucleotides. RefSeq lists it as uncharacterized. The transcript is spliced from 3 exons. The record is from RefSeq and is a predicted model, not a curated record. NCBI's taxonomy places the organism in Eukaryota, Metazoa, Chordata, Amphibia, Anura, Hylidae.
CAGCUGACGGGGGUAUAUGACACGUUCACCUUUUCACCGGGCAUUAGGCCUCUGUAAAAAAGACACAGCUGAUGGGGGUAUAUGUUGGGCAUCAGUCAUCUGUAAAAAAAGACAAAGCUGACGGGGGUAUAUGUCGGGCAUCAGUCAUCUGUAAAAAAAGACACAG